ACCCCGGGAGGGGAGUGAAAUAGAUCCUGAAACCGUGUGCAUACAAACAGUAGGAGCGGACUUGUUCCGUGACUGCGUACCUUUUGUAUAAUGGGUCAGCGACUUACAUUCAGUGGCAAGGUUAACCGCAUAGGGAAGCCGUAGAGAAAUCGAGUCCGAACAGGGCGCCAGUCGCUGGGUGUAGACCCGAAACCAAGUGAUCUACUCAUGGCCAGGAUGAAGGUGCGGUAACACGCACUGGAGGUCCGAACCCACUAAUGUUGAAAAAUUAGGGGAUGAGCUGUGGGUAGGGGUGA
This 296-nucleotide ribosomal RNA is filed under the name Duganella margarita. RNAcentral's name for it is "partial 23S ribosomal RNA". It matches the Rfam family "Bacterial large subunit ribosomal RNA", at positions 523 to 824 of the family's 2925-position model. The record is from RNAcentral. Lineage: Bacteria; Pseudomonadati; Pseudomonadota; Betaproteobacteria; Burkholderiales; Oxalobacteraceae.